This 21-nucleotide transfer RNA is filed under the name Curruca cantillans (Eastern subalpine warbler). RNAcentral's name for it is "partial tRNA-Met". The record is from RNAcentral. Lineage: Eukaryota; Metazoa; Chordata; Aves; Passeriformes; Sylviidae.
GCUCGACUCCUUCCCCUAUUA